GACGAACGCUGGCGGCGUGCCUAAUACAUGCAAGUUGAGCGAUGAAGAUUGGUGCUUGCACCAAUUUGAAGAGCAGCGAACGGGUGAGUAACGCGUGGGGAAUCUGCCUUUGAGCGGGGGACAACAUUUGGAAACGAAUGCUAAUACCGCAUAACAACUUUAAACAUAAGUUUUAAGUUUGAAAGAUGCAAUUGCAUCACUCAAAGAUGAUCCCGCGUUGUAUUAGCUAGUUGGUGAGGUAAAGGCUCACCAGGGCGAUGAUACAUAGCCGACCUGAGAGGGUGAUCGGCCACAUUGGGACUGAGACACGGCCCAAACUCCUACGGGAGGCAGCAGUAGGGAAUCUUCGGCAAUGGACGAAAGUCUGACCGAGCAACGCCGCGUGAGUGAAGAAGGUUUUCGGAUCGUAAAACUCUGUUGGUAGAGAAGAACGUUGGUGAGAGUGGAAAGCUCAUCAAGUGACGGUAACGACCCAGAAAGGGACGGCUAACUACGU
Molecule: ribosomal RNA, 496 nt
Filed under: uncultured bacterium
Lineage: Bacteria
Description: partial 16S ribosomal RNA
Rfam family: Bacterial small subunit ribosomal RNA
Source: RNAcentral